RNAcentral lists this ribosomal RNA (484 nucleotides) under uncultured bacterium. RNAcentral describes it as "partial 16S ribosomal RNA". It matches the Rfam family "Bacterial small subunit ribosomal RNA", at positions 29 to 523 of the family's 1533-position model. The record is from RNAcentral.
AGUGAACGCUGGCGGCGUGCUUAACACAUGCAAGUCGAACGAGAACGGGUUAUAGCUUGCUAUAAUUGUCAGCUAAGUGGCGCACGGGUGAGUAAUGUAUAGGUAAUAUGCCUCUUACUAAGGGAUAACAAAUGGAAACGUUUGCUAAUACCUUAUACUCCUUAUUAACAGAAGUUAAUAAGGGAAAGAUUUAUUGGUAAGAGAUUAGCCUGUAUUGUAUCAGUUAGUUGGUGGGGUAAUGGCUUACCAAGACUAUGACACAUAACUGGUUUGGAGGGAUGAAAAGUCACACUGGAACUGAGAACCGGUCCAGACUCAUAGGGGAGGAAGCAGUGGGGAACAUUGCACAAUGGACGAAAGUCUGAUGCAGCAACGCCGCGUGGAGGAUAACACAUUUCGGUGCGUAAACUCCUUUUAUAUGAGAAGAUAAUGACGGUAUUAUAUGAAUAAGCACCGGCUAACUCCGUGCCAGCCGCCGCCGUAA